UCAAACCAAGGAGAGAGGGAGAGAGAGAGAGCUGCUCAAACCAAGGAGAGAGAGAGGUAGGUUCAACCAUAGAAGAGAAGAGAGGAAGCAAGAUUGAAUCAAGUUUGAAGCUAAAAGAGAAAGAGGAAGCAAAAUCAAGUGGUAAACACAACUAUUCUAGCUUCUAAUUUAAAUAGUUUCUAAAAUUUCUUUCUCAUAUGGAUUUUAUGAAACCAUAAACAAGAGUAAGCUAAACUUAUAUGUUUAUUAGGAAUGUAAUAGCAUAGAGUUUGAAAGUUGAGCAAGAAAUUAGAUGGAAAGAAGAAAAGAAAAGCAAACUAUGCUCAAAUAGAGCUAGUUUAGGGGCUGUGAUUGCAGUAACCAUAACUCUAUGUGCAUAACUAGUUUGAACAUGAAAUUUUCAUGACACGUAAUAUUAAAGUUCAUCUACAUGUUGUAAAAAUUUGGAACUCAGAUUAUUAUAGAUAUUUAAUUAAAAGUCUUGCAAGGAGGCUGGACCUUUAGUACCUAUUUUUAAAAACAGGUCUAUAUAUGAAGUUAGGGACUUUAUUUAGACCUGAAAUUUUUAUGGUAGAUACCUACUACUGAUAUAGGGAGGAUGUCGUCCAAAAUUAAGCUCAAACAGAGUUGUAAGUACUUAAUUAAAAAUUAAACAGUUUUGAAAUUGAAAACCUUAAAACAAGCAUAAUUUGGUCUCUGGUUAUCGUCUAAGGCUGAAACUUUAACUGUGGACUCUCUGUGAUGGUGGGAAGACACUGUCCAAAUUUCACAAUUUUUGGACAAAUUAUGAAAAUUGUUGCAAUACUGAAUAAAAUUAGCCCUAAAACAUAUAGAAAACGUAAAUGGAAAAAUCUGGAAAAUUUCUAGAAAAUACUUUAUAUAUAUAACUAACUGAGGUUAAAAGAAUUUGGUAAAAUAAAAUCUUUAAAGUGGUCUGAUGGAAGAAAUGAAGUUGGAAAAAUUGUUAAAAGUUGUUUAAAGCCAAAACUGUGUAAUAAAAAUUUACCAGUUAAUGAAGUCAAAAUUGAGGUAUUAGGGUCAAGUUAAUGAUGAAAUGAAGUUUCAAAAGUUGAGAUGUAAAAAGGGACUUUAAAUGUACUCAAAAAUGAGUUUAAAAUAAACAAAUAAUCCAAAAUGUAAAUUAUGGGAAGUUACCGACGAUAACGAGUAAUUUAAUAAUUUAAUAAGGAAAUUGAUAUUCAACCUUUUGUUAUGAUACAGGUAAUAUGAGGGAAGGAGUUAGUGAAGUAAGUAAAGGACGAACUGUAAAAUCAGGCCAGUUUUCGCACUAUGUGCAUCAGUUUUCAAUUUGAACCUUUCGAACUGUAAUUGCAAUUGCUUAGCUUCAAAACUUCGAUUAUGUUUCAUAUUGUGAUUGAUUUAAGAGUUGAUGCUAUGUUAUUCAAUUAAAAUCUGAUAAUUAAGCAAUUCUUUUGCUGAACGACUCUAUUUGAGAUAUUGAAUGUCAAUGAUUCAUUAUAUAUCAUAUUUGUUGUGAUAAUUGAUUGUUCCAAACCAAGUUGACUUGGGGUGAAUUUGUUGAGGCUUUAUAAUUGAGAUGAACACCCCUAAAUUAUAGGAGAGUUGUAUAAGAAUGUCGACUCGCCGACGAUACACUGUUGAACUACGGUGUGGUAAUUAUGUUACAUGUAACGAAGAGUACUGUUAAGUUGAUCACCUAUAGUACAAUAUGGAAAGAGUUCUUGGUUCUUUAAAACCACUCAGUUACCUUGGUAGUAAUGAUGAUGUUGAUAGUGUUGUGAUUUCAAAUCUUAUUUACUAUUUGAUUUCUAGACGUUGAGAUACUCACUAAUAUGUAUUCAUUGUAUAGUAAGCCUUAUAAAUUGUUUCAUUCAGUCUUUAAAAUUUGCUAAGCAAUUGAUUGCUCACUCUUGCAUAUUUUAUAUUUCAGACAAGAUAGAAGGAGCUAAAGGGUCAGUAAGAAAGAUAAGGGUGAAGGAGUCCUCAACCCAGAAGAGUAGCUGUAAUUAGUAUGAUAGCAUAAUUUUGGAUAAGUUGUAAUAGACAUUAAUAAUAAUAAAGACCUG
Molecule: long non-coding RNA, 2048 nt
Filed under: Panax ginseng (ginseng)
Lineage: Eukaryota; Viridiplantae; Streptophyta; Magnoliopsida; Apiales; Araliaceae
Description: long non-coding RNA (PGIN_LNC014949)
Source: RNAcentral